Molecule: long non-coding RNA, 577 nt
Organism: Oncorhynchus nerka (sockeye salmon)
Lineage: Eukaryota; Metazoa; Chordata; Actinopteri; Salmoniformes; Salmonidae
Exons: 2
Source: RefSeq, a predicted model, not a curated record
UGGCUGAGUGGUGUGAACAGCUCUUAACUCCUCUGUGGAACCAGUCCAGUCCAGUUUGGCUGAGUGGUGUGAACAGCUCUUAACUCCUCUGUGGAACCAGGCCAGUCCAGUUUGGCUGAGUGGUGUGAACAGCUCUUAACUCCUCUGUGAAACCAGGCCAGUCCAGUUUGGCUGAGUGGUAUGAACAGCUCUUAACUCCUCCGUCCUGUCAGUAUGAGAUCAGCCAUGUUUUGAGUAUGAAUGUUAUUAUGUGUAAAGUGUGAAGUGCAACACUGCAGCGCGUACGUCAUCAGUCACUGAGCCUUGACCAAAACACUCUUUGGGUGUGUCCCAAAUGGAUCCCUAUUCCCCACAGGGCUUUGGUCUAAAGUAGUGCACUAUGUAGGGAAUAGGGUGCCAGCCCUGGUCUAAAGUAGUGCACUAUGUAGGGAAUAGGGUGCCAUUUGGGAUGUAGAAUCACCUGUGUAGAACCUAUGCAACACUUGACUUAGAAAGUCGUCUUAAGACAUGGGACAGCCAGGGGACAGGGUUUACCAUGUAUAUUAUGUAUUAGACGAAUAAAUAUCUCUUCACGUUC